RNAcentral lists this ribosomal RNA (468 nucleotides) under uncultured bacterium. Its description in RNAcentral is "partial 16S ribosomal RNA". It matches the Rfam family "Bacterial small subunit ribosomal RNA", at positions 28 to 507 of the family's 1533-position model. The record is from RNAcentral.
GACGAACGCUGGCGGCGUGCUUAACACAUGCAAGUCGAACGGAAAGGCCCUGCUUUUGUGGGGUGCUCGAGUGGCGAACGGGUGAGUAACACGUGAGUAACCUGCCCUUGACUUUGGGAUAACUUCAGGAAACUGGGGCUAAUACCGGAUAGGAGCUCUUGCUGCAUGGUGGGGGUUGGAAAGUUUCGGCGGUUGGGGAUGGACUCGCGGCUUAUCAGCUUGUUGGUGGGGUAGUGGCUUACCAAGGCUUUGACGGGUAGCCGGCCUGAGAGGGUGACAGGCCACAUUGGGACUGAAAUGCGGCCCAGACUCCUACGGGAGGCAGCAGUGGGGAAUAGUGCACAAUGGGCGGAAGCCCGAUGCAGCAACGCCGUGUGCGGUAUGACGGCCUUCGGGUUGUAAACCACUUUCGCCUGUGACGAGGCGUGAGUGACGGUAAUGGGUAAAGAAGCACCGGCUAACUACGUG